UGUCAGCCGCCGCGGUAAUACGUAGGGUGCAGGCGUUAAUCGGAAUUACUGGGCGUAAAGCGUGCGCAGGCGGUUUCUUAAGUCAGAUGUGAAAGCCCCGGGCUUAACCUGGGAACUGCGUUUGAAACUGGGAGACUUGAGUGUGGCAGAGGGGGGUGGAAUUCCACGUGUAGCAGUGAAAUGCGUAGAUAUGUGGAGGAACACCGAUGGCGAAGGCAGCCCCCUGGGUCAACACUGACGCUCAUGCACGAAAGCGUGGGGAGCAAACAGGAUUAGAUACCCUGGUAGUCCACGCCCUAAACGAUGUCAACUGGUUGUCGGGGGAUUGAUUCCCUUGGUAACGAAGCUAACGCGUGAAGUUGACCGCCUGGGGAGUACGGCCGCAAGGUUAAAACUUAAAGGAAUUGACGG
This 411-nucleotide ribosomal RNA is filed under the name uncultured organism. RNAcentral describes it as "bacterial SSU rRNA". It matches the Rfam family "Bacterial small subunit ribosomal RNA", at positions 506 to 916 of the family's 1533-position model. The record is from RNAcentral.